This 253-nucleotide ribosomal RNA is filed under the name uncultured bacterium. RNAcentral describes it as "partial 16S ribosomal RNA". It matches the Rfam family "Bacterial small subunit ribosomal RNA", at positions 524 to 776 of the family's 1533-position model. The record is from RNAcentral.
UACGGAGGAUCCAAGCGUUAUCCGGAUUUAUUGGGUUUAAAGGGUGCGUAGGUGGCCUGUUAAGUCAGGGGUGAAAGACGGUAGCUUAACUAUCGCAGUGCCCUUGAUACUGAUGGGCUUGAAUGAACUAGAGGUAGGCGGAAUGUGACAAGUAGCGGUGAAAUGCAUAGAUAUGUCACAGAACGCCAAUUGCGAAGGCAGCUUACUAUGGUUUUAUUGACACUGAGGAGCGAAAGCGUGGGGAGCGAACAGG